AUUAGUAGCUCACGUGGCUCAUCUCACUUCUUGCGUACAUACAAAAGGAAACUCUGAAUAGCUCUAAUUCUUCUCUAGUAGGCAUGCUUUGAAGUGCUGACUGGAUUGAGUCCCUGCAGAGAGACGGAUGGAUAAAUUGUGGAUUAUCAUCAGCCUUCACCACCAACAACACAGAGUUGCUCAGUGCUGUGAAAACUGAGAUGUUGCUCUACAUACCCAGUAGCAGAAGAGAAAAUGUUUUUUAAGAUAAGGUACCAAAGAAUGUAUAAAGGUUUAGUAGCAAUUCAACAGGACUCCCAGGAUUUUGGUGCUAAUUAGAAGUCCCUGAACUCUGCCUAAGGUGAGCGUUUAAUGGCUAAAUCCCAUUUUGCAGCUUUAACAAAAUGAGGAUAACGAUGUGCUCAUAUGUUAAAGGACUUAGAUGGAUGAUCUAAGGAGCAAAUCAUUACAUUUUCUGCAUUAUUAGAACUACUACUAAUUACAAGUUAAAGGCCAGCUGGUAAAAGCUGAUGGGUGUUUUUCAAACAUAGAUUUUCUGAUUAAAUGUUUAAUUCCUGUAAUAUUGUAGUUCAUACACUGGCCUUGUUCACUGAUGCACUUGGGAAUACUGACUGAUGACUCAAGAACUGUGGAUUCAAUACUCCAUUCAUUCAAUAUUUACAAACUCUAGGAAUUUUGGAAUUUAGUCAAAGGGCAGACAGCUGUGGAUGACGAUUAUGGAACAGAUGAGCCAAGCCCUGCCAUUUUUGUCAUUCUGCUGGACAUUCACACCAGGCUGUUUUUUGUUGGCUCAACAUAGUGGUCUUCAUCUCUCCUCAGUCAGUGUAUCUAUGCAGACACACAAUAUCUAUCCACCUGCCUUUGACCACACUGUUACAUGUUUUGGCUUCUCAGUGGUUAACCCUACACCAGAAGAUCAUUAACUGCAGGUGUGAGAACCGGAGGCUGAAAACACAGCCUUGAAAGCGCAAACUGCACCUCAAUGCUGCUGGAGUAAUGCCUGCAGGGGCAACGUUUAGCACAUGGGCUGUGGGAAAAGUUGCCAUAUGCAAGAACUUGGAGGAAACUUACCUCUUGCCUUGAUCCCACCAGCCUGCAGAGUCUGACCCUGGGGUCUAGGGCUGUGCUCAUGAUUUUGAAGUCUUCCAGCACAAGAAAGCAACUUUUACUUAAGCACCUCUGGAUCAAGGCUAGGCAACCAGAUGAAAGCAGUUCAGUUACUGAACCUGUUUUCACUUUCAAAACUGAUACAGCUGUGAAACACCUCAAAAUGAAAUAAAGCUCUUCUGUUCUCACA
Molecule: long non-coding RNA, 1297 nt
Filed under: Anas platyrhynchos platyrhynchos (common mallard)
Lineage: Eukaryota; Metazoa; Chordata; Aves; Anseriformes; Anatidae
Description: lncRNA (ENSAPLG00000025629.1)
Source: RNAcentral